RNAcentral lists this ribosomal RNA (494 nucleotides) under uncultured bacterium. RNAcentral's name for it is "partial 16S ribosomal RNA". It matches the Rfam family "Bacterial small subunit ribosomal RNA", at positions 28 to 507 of the family's 1533-position model. The record is from RNAcentral.
GACGAACGCUGGCGGCGUGCUUAACACAUGCAAGUCGAACGGUGACGCGCCUUCCUUUUUGGUGGGUGUGGAUGAGUGGCGAACGGGUGAGUAACACGUUCGUAACCUGCCCUUUUCUUCUGGAUAACGGCAUGAAAGUGUGGCUAAUACGGGAUAUUCUGUGUCUGUCGCAUGAUGGGUCCUGGGAAGAUAGUGUUUCGGUGGGGGAUGGGCUCGCGGACUAUCAGGUUGUUGGUGGGGUGCUGGCCUACCAAGGCGGUGACGAGUAGCUGGCAUGAGAUGGUGAACCGCACCACAGCUGAUGAGACAUGGCGCAGACUACUGCAGGAGGCAGCAGUGGGUAUUAGAGCAUGGGGGGCAGAAGGCUGCUGCAGCGACGCCGCGUGAGGGAUGGAGUUCGUCUGGUUGAGAACCUCUUUCGCGAGUGAAGCAGAGCAGGCUCAUUUGUCGGUGUUUUGACGGUAGCUGAAGAAGAAGCGCCGGCUAACUACGUG